GAUGAACGCUGGCGGCGUGCCUAAUACAUGCAAGUCGAGCGAACGGACGAGAAGCUUGCUUCUCUGAUGUUAGCGGCGGACGGGUGAGUAACACGUGGAUAACCUACCUAUAAGACUGGGAUAAUUUCGGGAAACCGGAGCUAAUACCGGAUAAUAUUUUGAACCGCAUGGUUCAAAAGUGAAAGACGGUCUUGCUGUCACUUAUAGAUGGAUCCGCGCUGCAUUAGCUAGUUGGUAAGGUAACGGCUUACCAAGGCAACGAUGCAUAGCCGACCUGAGAGGGUGAUCGGCCACACUGGAACUGAGACACGGUCAGACUCCUACGGGAGGCAGCAGUAGGGAAUCUUCCGCAAUGGGCGAAAGCCUGACGGAGCAACGCCGCGUGAGUGAUGAAGGUCUUCGGAUCGUAAAACUCUGUUAUUAGGGAAGAACAUAUGUGUAAGUAACUGUGCACAUCUUGACGGUACCUAAUCAGAAAGCCACGGCUAACUACGUG
RNAcentral lists this ribosomal RNA (496 nucleotides) under uncultured bacterium. RNAcentral's name for it is "partial 16S ribosomal RNA". It matches the Rfam family "Bacterial small subunit ribosomal RNA", at positions 28 to 507 of the family's 1533-position model. The record is from RNAcentral.